This 213-nucleotide unclassified non-coding RNA is filed under the name plant metagenome. RNAcentral describes it as "partial contains small subunit ribosomal RNA, internal transcribed spacer 1, and 5.8S ribosomal RNA". The record is from RNAcentral.
UUUCCGUAGGUGAACCUGCGGAAGGAUCAUUCAUAAGAAGUGUUUUAUGGAAAUUUUUUGAAUCCAUAUCCACCUUGUGUGCAAUGUCAGGGUUGAUUUUUCUCUCAAGAGGAUCAGCCCCAAACAUCAACUAUAUCUCAACUCUUUGUCAGAAAAAUAUUAUGAAUAAAACAAUUCAAAGUACAACUUUCAACAACGGAUCUCUUGGCUCUC